Molecule: long non-coding RNA, 1008 nt
Filed under: Papio anubis (olive baboon)
Lineage: Eukaryota; Metazoa; Chordata; Mammalia; Primates; Cercopithecidae
Description: lncRNA (ENSPANG00000043097.1)
Source: RNAcentral
UGGGUCCCCGGGCGGGCGCAGGGCCGGGUUGCGGGACCGGCGGGCGCGGGGAGGACUCGGGUUCACAGUCGCUCCCGCUCCGGAAAGUGUGCGGCGGCCGCCCCGGAGGGACCUCGGCGGGGAGGAGGCGGCCGGAGUCGGAGUCGGAGGGGUCCGUCCGCUGCCGGAGACUGGGAGCGCGUCCGCCCCGCCUGCCGGGCCCGUGGUGGGGGCCGCACCCACCGCUGCGUGGCCGGGACCGUCUUGGCUGGCGCCGCCUUGGAGCCGUCGGCACCGCGCGCGGUCGGGGGAGCGGCGGGGGAGGAAGGACCCGGCGAGCCCGGGGAGGGUCCUGCAGGCGGAGGCGCCGGGGCAGGGUGUGGGGUCAGGACCCGCGCGGCGCUGCUUCUGCUCCCGAAGUCUGCGGUCGGUCCGAGCUGGCGCGGCGGAGGGUGUGACUCCUGGAGCCGCGGGGCCACCCCGGAGCGCGAGGCCGCAGCGGGGAGUCCCUGGGCCCGUCUCCGGGACGGCUUUGGCUGCAGCAGGAGGACGGCGUUUGGAGGGUGGGGUGGACGCGUCCUCUCAGCGCCGGCCUGGACUGACAGCCUCCACUGCGCCCACGCUGCCCUCGUGCCCAGGGUUCUCAGAAGUCCGAUGCCAGGCGGAGGCGAGGGGCAGAUGCCCAGGGUUGGGAGGCCGCUGGCGGUCCAGGUCCCGCAGGAUGCGAAGGAUUUUCCAGGAGGGCCCAGGGGCUGCAGGGUGCACAGGCCCACCUUGCACGGGAGCCACUGCCCGGGCCUUAGCUGGGCGGAGCCAUUCCGGGGCCGCCGCUCCUUCCCUGCGCGGCCAGGCUCGGGUUCCAGGCAGGCUGCUGCAGGGGGCCUGAUCCGGGGGACAGCCGGCUACCCACCCCGGCAAGGGCGCCCACCUCGGCCGCUGACAGCCUCGCAGGGAGGCCCCAGCGAUGAGCAAGGGGGCUGGCGGGAGGCCGGGAGGCCCAGCCGGCCUGAGUCCUGGACAGGUGAUUGA